Molecule: ribosomal RNA, 253 nt
Filed under: uncultured bacterium
Lineage: Bacteria
Description: partial 16S ribosomal RNA
Rfam family: Bacterial small subunit ribosomal RNA
Source: RNAcentral
UACAGAGGGGGCAAGCGUUGUUCGGAAUUACUGGGCGUAAAGGGCGCGUAGGCGGCCUUCUAAGUCGAACGUGAAAUCCCCGGGCUCAACCCGGGAACUGCGUCCGAUACUGGAAGGCUUGAAUCCGGGAGAGGGAUGUGGAAUUCCAGGUGUAGCGGUGAAAUGCGUAGAUAUCUGGAGGAACACCGGUGGCGAAGGCGGGUCUCUGGGCCGAUACUGACGCUGAGGAGCGAAAGCGUGGGGAGCGAACAGG